AUGGCCGUCGAGCACGGAUCCUCCUCCUCCGCCGCCACCAGCUCUGCCUCCUCGCCGAGCUCCCUCUCCUCCGCCUCUUCCGCAGCCACGUCCGGCGGCACCAUGGCCUCUACCUCACCGGCCUUCGUGUUCGGCACCACUUCGGCCCACACCACCGGCUCCUCUGCUCCCUCUGCGUCCCAGUUCGCCCCCCUUUUCUCCUCCCAACCAUCCCCACCACCACCACCGGCGCCCCCUGCUCGCCAUCCCAUGUUCAACGAUCAUGUGUCCAACCACAUCAAAUUCCUCCUCGACCCCGACGAACACAACUUUCACAAAUGGAAGUCCUUCUUCCUCAUGGUCCUCGUCCGCCAUGGCCUCUCCUACCUCAUCGAGCACCCUCCUCCCCCAAACGCCGAUUCCCAGUACCUUGAGCUCGACACCCAUGUCGCUCUGGGGGUGUAUGCCACCCUUGCGGACUCCCUCAUCGACCACGUCAUCGGCGCCACCACUACCUACGAUCUCUGGACCCGGAUCAACGCCUACUUCCUCGCCAACCGCGCUGCUCGGUACAUGACGCUCAACAGGCAGUACCGGAAUCUCAAGCAGGGAGAUCUCUCGGUCGCCGAGUACGCGCGGCGCAUGAAGCAGCUCACCGCCGGCCUCGCCGACAUCGACCACGCCGUCACCGAGGUCGACCUCACCUCCCAGUUCCUCCAUGGCCUUGAUGGGCGCCUUGACACCAUUCGGCUCGUCCUGGGCGACACUGUUCCCCUGCCACCGUUCGAGACCGUCUUCUCGCGCGUCAAACUCGCCGAGGAGAACCUCGCCCAACGCGCUUCCGAGGUCAGCGCCACGGUGCUCGCCGUCCAUGGAUCUGGCGCGCCUCCCAGUGGCUCCUCCGCCACUUCCGGCUCCCCUGGCGCCGGCGGUUCCGCUCCUCGCUCGGGUGAUCGCGGGACCGAUCGCUCUCAGGAUCGUGGGCGCGGCUCCUCCUCUCGCCAGCAUGAUCACGGUGACCGCGGCCGUGGGCGCGGCCGUGGGCGUGGGCGCGGUCGCGGUGACCAGGGCGGCCGGGGCUCUGCAUCGACCUUCAACCCCUACAUGGGCUUCUUCGCCCCCUACGGCAUGGCCUUGCCCUCGCCACGCUCCGGCUGGAUCCCGCCCAACGCUGCUGGUGUCCUCGGACCACGCCCGGAUGUCCACGCCAACGCGUACUCCAUGCAGUUCCCGCCCUACUCCGCGCCACCUCCGCUCCAGGCGCCGUCUUGGGAUCAUCUCGCCAUGCUCCAGGCGGCCUACAGCUCUCAAGGCUUCCCCAACAACGGCAACGGCCCCGCCGAGUGGUACCUCGACAGCGGUGCUUCCUCCCACGUCACCGGCAACCCUGGUAACAUUCACCGGUCCAAUCCCUCUUUAAAGCAUCAUUUAUCUCAUAUUGUUGUUGGCAACGGCACUCACCUCCCCAUACAAGCCAUCGGUUCCACCACCCUCCCACACAACUUUCACUUGCGUGACGUUUUGUUCUCACCCCGGCGUUGUUACUAG
This 1527-nucleotide ribosomal RNA is filed under the name Triticum aestivum (bread wheat). RNAcentral describes it as "partial small subunit ribosomal RNA". The record is from RNAcentral. Lineage: Eukaryota; Viridiplantae; Streptophyta; Magnoliopsida; Poales; Poaceae.